GAUGAACGCUGGCGGCGUGCCUAAUACAUGCAAGUAGAACGCUGAAGGAAGGAGCUUGCUCUUUCCGGAUGAGUUGCGAACGGGUGAGUAACGCGUAGGUAACCUGCCUGGUAGCGGGGGAUAACUAUUGGAAACGAUAGCUAAUACCGCAUAACAGUAGAUGUUGCAUGAUAUCUACUUAAAAGGUGUAAUUGCACCACUACCAGAUGGACCUGCGUUGUAUUAGCUAGUUGGUGAGGUAACGGCUCACCAAGGCGACGAUACAUAGCCGACCUGAGAGGGUGAUCGGCCACACUGGGACUGAGACACGGCCCAGACUCCUACGGGAGGCAGCAGUAGGGAAUCUUCGGCAAUGGACGGAAGUCUGACCGAGCAACGCCGCGUGAGUGAAGAAGGUUGUCGGAUCGUAAAGCUCUGUUGUAAGAGAAGAACGAGUGUGAGAGUGGAAAGUUCACACUGUGACGGUAUCUUACCAGAAAGGGACGGCUAACUACGUG
RNAcentral lists this ribosomal RNA (497 nucleotides) under uncultured bacterium. RNAcentral's name for it is "partial 16S ribosomal RNA". It matches the Rfam family "Bacterial small subunit ribosomal RNA", at positions 28 to 507 of the family's 1533-position model. The record is from RNAcentral.